GCCAGAUAGCUCAGUUGGUAGACUGUGAGAUUCUUAAUCCCAGGGUUGUAGGUUUGAGCCCCACAUUGAAUG
Non-coding RNA from Podarcis lilfordi (Lilford's wall lizard), 72 nucleotides. The record is from the annotation of a GenBank genome assembly. NCBI's taxonomy places the organism in Eukaryota, Metazoa, Chordata, Lepidosauria, Squamata, Lacertidae.